UGCAAGUCGAGCGCGCCCUUCGGGGUGAGCGGCGGACGGGUUAGUAACGCGUGGGAAUAUGCCCAAAGGUACGGAAUAGCCUCUGGAAACGGAGAGUAAUACCGUAUGUGCCCUUCGGGGGAAAGAUUUAUCGCCUUUGGAUUAGCCCGCGUUAGAUUAGGUAGUUGGUGGGGUAAUGGCCUACCAAGCCUACGAUCUAUAGCUGGUUUUAGAGGAUGAUCAGCAACACUGGGACUGAGACACGGCCCAGACUCCUACGGGAGGCAGCAGUGGGGAAUCUUGGACAAUGGGCGCAAGCCUGAUCCAGCCAUGCCGCGUGAGUGAUGAAGGCCUUAGGGUCGUAAAGCUCUUUCGCCAGGGAUGAUAAUGACAGUACCUGGUAAAGAAACCCCGGCUAACUCCGUGCCAGCAGCCGCGGUAAUACGGAGGGGGUUAGCGUUGUUCGGAAUUACUGGGCGUAAAGCGCGCGUAGGCGGAUCGGAAAGUUGGGGGUGAAAUCCCGGGGCUCAACCCCGGAACUGCCUCCAAAACUAUCGGUCUA
RNAcentral lists this ribosomal RNA (541 nucleotides) under uncultured bacterium. RNAcentral describes it as "bacterial SSU rRNA". It matches the Rfam family "Bacterial small subunit ribosomal RNA", at positions 56 to 643 of the family's 1533-position model. The record is from RNAcentral.